This is an unclassified non-coding RNA of Callithrix jacchus (white-tufted-ear marmoset), 300 nucleotides long. It matches the Rfam family "Metazoan signal recognition particle RNA". From Rfam's summary of the family: The signal recognition particle (SRP) is a universally conserved ribonucleoprotein. It is involved in the co-translational targeting of proteins to membranes. The record is from Ensembl. Lineage: Eukaryota; Metazoa; Chordata; Mammalia; Primates; Cebidae.
GCCAGGCGUGACAGUGCAUGCCUGUAGUCCCAGCUACUUGGGAGGCUGAGGCUGGAGGAUCGCUUGAGUCUAGGAGUUCUGGGCUAUAGUGCACUAUGCCAGUCGAGUGUCUGCACUAAGUUCAGCAUCAAUAUGGUGAACUCCUGGGAGCAGGGGACCACCAGGUUGCCUAAGGAGGGGUGAACUGGCCAAGGUCAGAAACGGAGCAGGUCAAAACUCCCUUGCUGAUCAGUAGUGGAAUCAUGCCUGUGAAUAGCCACUGAACUCUAGCAUGGGCAACACAUCGAGACCCCAUCUCUU